Molecule: long non-coding RNA, 628 nt
Organism: Bombus impatiens (common eastern bumble bee)
Lineage: Eukaryota; Metazoa; Arthropoda; Insecta; Hymenoptera; Apidae
Exons: 3
Source: RefSeq, a predicted model, not a curated record
CGCAAGUCGCGUUCGCAACGCACUCUCGUUUCAUUCGAGGAAUUAAUCUCGAACCUGUAAAUCUACAAUCCGUCCAUCCAGACGUUUCAAGACUCGUUCUGUGUGGGUUGCAAUAAUCUAUAGAGUAACUGUAAUUAGAAAGAAUGAAGAAAGAAAAUAAAGAUUCAAGAGAAGAUGCAUUUCUAGAACUGCUUCUAGUAGGAUUAAUAUAGAAAGAGUAAAACUGCUGCAAUGAUUGAAAUGGGUGGAAGAGGAUAAUGUAGAUGUAAGAGAAGAUCUAUUUCGGUAUAGGCCUACUUUUACAGGGAUUACUUCCUGAAUGUAUGAAUCAACCCCAAUGACCUUUACUUUAUUCACAUACCGGUAAAUCUACUGUAGUCAUUCAUAAAUCUCGAACUUGACCUCACAUGACGGCCAUUAGUGAUAACGUGCAGCAAGUGCGUCGCUUUGAUUAGACGAGCGUGCGUAACACGAGUGAACAUGCUCUCAUCGGUGAUUAAGUGGCAACUUGAUAACACGCGUUCCUUUCGAUCGAACGCACGCGAUCAUAUUUAAAGACGCGCAGCUUGUGUUUGCAUAAUUAUGAUCGUCUGACACGCAUCACAAUCUAACUACAUACGUAGAUGAA